Molecule: ribosomal RNA, 493 nt
Filed under: uncultured bacterium
Lineage: Bacteria
Description: bacterial SSU rRNA
Rfam family: Bacterial small subunit ribosomal RNA
Source: RNAcentral
AGCGAACGUUUGCGGCGGGCCUAACACAUGCAAGUCGAACGCACUAGCAAUAGUGAGUGGCGCACGGGUGCGUAACACGUGGGUAAUCAACCCUUCAGCCUGGGAUAACGACUCGAAAGGGUCGCUAAUACCGGAUACGGCGCGAGAGGCUUCGGCUUCUCACGAGAAAGCCACGCAAGGGGCACUGAAGGACGAGCCUGCGGCCCAUCAGCUAGUUGGUGAGGUAAGAGCUCACCAAGGCUAAGACGGGUAGCUGGUCUGAGAGGAUAAUCAGCCACACUGGAACUGAGACACGGUCCAGACUCCUACGGGAGGCAGCAGUGGGGAAUAUUGCGCAAUGGGCGAAAGCCUGACGCAGCCACGCCGCGUGAGCGAUGAAGGCCUCGGUCGGUAAAGACUCUGUGGGAGGAGACGAAGAAAGACCUAGUGAAGAGACAGGCCUGUACGGUAGUCUCCUUACGUCAAGACACCGGCCGUAACUACCGUCGCCACG